RNAcentral lists this long non-coding RNA (4368 nucleotides) under Salmo salar (Atlantic salmon). Its description in RNAcentral is "lncRNA (ENSSSAG00000083365.1)". Lineage: Eukaryota; Metazoa; Chordata; Actinopteri; Salmoniformes; Salmonidae. The record is from RNAcentral.
CUAAUAUCUGAGAAUGUCAGUUGGUAUUCCCAUCUUUUAUAAUAACAUCAUUUACUACUUUAUCUGACCUGUAAUCCCUGACCCCUGACCCCUGACCCCUUGCCCAAUCCUACAUUGAAGAGGUUGGUUUCCCAGACUCAGAUACCCCAACAUGUAGAAGUGAUCUUAGAUUAGAACUAAUUCUAUAUGGCUUGGCUUCCUCUAUGUACUAACCGCAUGUUUAUAUAGCAGACUACAGGCAGGCAGACAGACAGGCAGGCAGGCAGGCAGACAUGCAGACAGACAGGCAGGCAGACAGACCCGAAACACAGACAGGCCUCCAGAGUGGCGCAGUAGUCUAAGGCUGUGCCACUAGAGAUUCUGGGUUGAAGUCCAGUCUCUAUUGCAGCUGGCUGCGACCGGGAGACCCAUGGGGCGGCGUACAAUUGGCCCAGCGUCGUCUGGGUUAGGGGAGGGUUUGGCCAGCAGGGAUGUUCUUGUUCCAUCGCGCACUAGCGACUCCUGGGCGCAGUGCACGCUGACAUGGUCGCCAGGUGUACAGUGUUUCCUCCGACACAUUGGUGCGGCUGGCUUUCCGGGUUAAGUGGGCGUUGUGCCAAGAAGCAGUGCGGCUUGGUUGGGGUGUGUUUCGGAGGACGCACGGCUCUCGACCUUCGCCUCUCCUGAGUCCGUACGGGAGUUGCAGCGAUGAGACAAGACCGUAACUACCAAUUGGAUACCACAAAAUUGUGGAGAAAAAGGGUGGAAAAAAAUGUCAAAUUAAAAGAGGCAGGCAGGUAGACGGGGCAGGCAGAUAGACAUUCAUCAUGUAUGGCUUGGCUUCCUCUAUGUAUUAACCGCAUGUUUCUAUAGCAGACUACAGACAGACGGACGGGCAGGCAGACAGACGGACGGGCAGGCAGAUAGUCAGGCAGGCAGACAGAUUCUCCUUGGACCUCUCUCAUCAACGAGCUGUUUUCUGAGAUACUGAAUUUGGAGCGCUUGGCACAUAGUUUUGCCCAUUCUAACAUUCAGUCGAACAGUAACUGAAUGCCUCGAUGCCUGCUUUAUAUAGCAAGCCACAGCCACGCUACUCACUGUCUGUCAUCCAUUUUUGUGAAAUGGGGGGUGGACCCAAUAAACUGGCCGGUGAGUGUUUUUCAUCUAUACAUGAAUAUAAUGGUGUAUAUAUAGCAUGUUAACAUAGGGAUAUAUAUAAUCUAUACAACAGUAUAUAUAGCAUGUUAACAUAGGGAUAUAUACAGUAUCAUCUAUACAUGAUGUGGCAGACCAAGGGGUUGGGUCAAAACAUUUACACAGAUCAGACACGGACAGAGAAGGAUUAGCUCAGUUUCAAAGAUGUUUAUUAAAAUAAUAGUUCAAAAAGAAAAGAAUAAGUCUCCCUCAAGAGACCCUCUCCGGGAUACCGUCUUCUGGGCUCCGGGUCUUGCUGUAUCCUGUGGGGAUGAAAAACUCAACUCCCUCCUGUUACCUCUGUAACCGUCCCCAACUAUACAGGAGUCCUUUCUUCCCCCACUCUCUUCCUGUGUGCUGCCCUUCUGGCAGCUUUAUGGGACUUGUACAGCUGAUGAACAACCAGCCCUUGAUUACUCACCAACUCCCAAUCAGCCCCAAUUAGUCCUGGACGGAGAGCCCGUCGAGACCUGGCACGUCCAGCAGAUGGAGCCAUCGCCUCGUGAUGUACACUCUGUCUGUCACCAGGCCUCGACGAGUCUCCCCCUGGUGGCUGACCUGCUGUACGCCACAAUGAAUACAACAGUAUAUAUAGCAUGUUUACAUAGAGAUAUAUAUAUAAACUAUACAACAGUAUAUAUAGCAUGUUAACAUGGGAAUAUAUAUCAUCUAUACAUGAAUAUAACAGUCUAUAUGGGUCCAGUGUUGGUUUCUUGAGGAGGGAAGCGACUCGGGCCAUCUUGAAGUCAGUUGUCAGGGAUGAGUUGGUGAGGGAAGUGAGGAAUGGGAGAAGGUCUCCAGAGAUGAGUUGAUGAAGGAAGUGAGAAGGUCUCCAGAGAUGGUGUGGAGAAGGGAAUGGGGAUGAGUUGAUGAGGGAAGUAAGAAGGUCUCCAGAGAUGGUGUGGAGAAGUGAGGAGGGAAUGGGGUUGAGUUGAUGAGGGAAGUUAGGAAGGGGAGGUCUCCAGAGAUGGUCUGGAGAAGGGAAGAGGGAAUGGGGUUGAGUUGAUGAGGGAAGUUAGGAAGGGGAGGUCUCCAGAGAUGGUCUGGAGAAGGGAAGAGGGAAUGGGGUUGAGUUGAUGAGGGAAGUGAGGAAGGGGAGGUCUCCAGAGAUGGUCUAGAGAAGGGAAGAGGGAAUGGGGUUGAGUUGAUGAGGGAAGUGAGGAAGGGGAGGUCUCCAGAGAUGGUCUAGAGAAGGGAAGAGGGGUUGAGUGGGCAGGUUGUCGGGCGGACGGACAUCACUAAUCGCAGGAUUUUAUCUGGAGUGAGAGGGGAGAAUGAGGUCAAGGUGUAUGGUAGUUAUGGAGAGAGAUGGGAGAAAGAGGUCAAGGUGUAUGGUAGUUAUGGAGAGAGAUGGGAUAAAGAGGUCAAGGUGUAUGGUAGUUAUGGAGAGAGAGGGGAGAAAGAGGUCAAGGUGUAUGGUAGUUAUGGAGAGAGAGGGGAGAAAGAGGUCAAGGCGUAUGGUAGUUAUGGAGAGAGAUGGGAGAAAGAGGUCAAGGCGUAUGGUAGUUAUGGAGAGAGAGGGGAGAAAGAGGUCAAGCCGUAUGGUAGUUAUGGAGAGAGAGGGGAGAAAGAGGUCAAGGCGUAUGGUAGUUAUGGAGAGAGAGGGGAGAAAGAGGUCAAGGUGUAUGGUAGUUUUGUGUGAGUGGGACCAGUGGACUCAAUAGGCUGAGUGAAUGAGGAGCAGAUGUCGUCUGGAGAGAGAUGGGAGAAAGAGGUCAAGGCGUAUGGUAGUUAUGGAGAGAGAGGGGAGAAAGAGGUCAAGGUGUAUGGUAGUUAUGGAGAGAGAGGGGAGAAAGAGGUCAAGGCGUAUGGUAGUUAUGGAGAGAGAUGGGAGAAAGAGGUCAAGGCGUAGGGUAGUUAUGGAGAGAGAGGGGAGAAAGAGGUCAAGGCGUAUGGUAGUUAUGGAGAGAGAGGGGAUAAAGAGGUCAAGGCGUAUGGUAGUUAUGGAGAGAGAGGGGAGAAAGAGGUCAAGGUGUAUGGUAGUUAUGGAGAGAGAGGGGAGAAAGAGGUCAAGGCGUAUGGUAGUUAUGGAGAGAGAUGGGAUAAAGAGGUCAAGGCGUAUGGUAGUUAUGGAGAGAGAGGGGAGAAAGAGGUCAAGGCGUAUGGUAGUUAUGGAGAGAGAGGGGAGAAAGAGGUCAAGGCGUAUGGUAGUUAUGGAGAGAGAUGGGAGAACGAGGUCAAGGUGUAUGGUAGUUAUGGAGAGAGAGGGGAGAAAGAGGUCAAGGUGUAUGGUAGUUAUGGAGAGAGAGGGGAGAAUGAGGUCAAGGCGUAUGGUAGUUAUGGAGAGAGAGGGGAGAAAGAGGUCAAGGCGUAUGGUAGUUAUGGAGAGAGAUGGGAGAACGAGGUCAAGGUGUAUGGUAGUUAUGGAGAGAGAUGGGAUAAAGAGGUCAAGGUGUAUGGUAGUUAUGGAGAGAGAGGGGAGAAAGAGGUCAAGGCGUAUGGUAGUUAUGGAGAGAGAGGGGAGAAAGAGGUCAAGGCGUAUGGUAGUUAUGGAGAGAGAGGGGAGAAAGAGGUCAAGGUGUAUGGUAGUUAUGGAGAGAGAGGGGAGAAAGAGGUCAAGGCGUAUGGUAGUUAUGUGUGAGUGGGACCAGUGGACUCAGUAGGCUGAGUGAAUGAGGAGCAGAUGCCCUCUAGUGACCACUAUUCCAACACUAUAGUCAAUUACUUUGGGCCAAAGUCUCCCAAAGCUGUCUAAUACAUCUGGUCUAAAGUAGUGCACUAGGAAGGGAACAGGGCUCUGGUCUAAAGUAGUGCACUAUGAAGGGAACAGGGCUCUGGUCUAAAGUAGUGCACUAUGAAGGGAACAGGGCUCUGGUCUAAAGUAGUGCACUAUGAAGGGAACAGGGCUCUGGUCUAAAGUAGUGCACUAUGAAGGGAACAGGGCUCUGGUCUAAAGUAGUGCACUAUGAAGGGAACAGGGCUCUGGUCUACAGUAGUGCACUAUGAAGGGAACAGGGCUCUGGUCUACAGUAGUGCACUAUGAAGGGAACAGGGCUCCGUAGAGGAAUUUGGUGCCAUUUUAGAUUGGCCCUGUGUAUAUGCAACAUGAUAUAUCUAAUGUUGUUAGAUUAUAUAUAUUAGUGUAAAUUAUGUUAUUUGAUCUAUAUUAAUGUAAAUGAUGCUGUAUGAUGUAAAUGUCUCAGAAAAUAAACUGCCUGAUCCCGAAAGAACCAAUAAAAACCCAGAUGACAAAGC